This is a long non-coding RNA of Equus caballus (horse), 2597 nucleotides long. The record is from Ensembl. NCBI's taxonomy places the organism in Eukaryota, Metazoa, Chordata, Mammalia, Perissodactyla, Equidae.
GUCAUGUUUUCCUGUUUUUCUUAGCUUCUUUUAUAAGUUUCAGUUAUAUGUUGCUUAAUUUGAAAAAGCUCAUGGAUGGUAUUUUCUCAUCAACGUAAAAUAUCUUUGGUAUCCUGUUUGGUGCUUUUUGUUUUGAAUUGUACAUCCUUUUUGUCUGUCAUUUAACUUUAGAUGGGUGGCUUAUAAACACAUUGCUGGAAUUUUUUUUUUUUAGUGAAAUUCAGACAGUCUCUUAAUAGGUGAAUUUAACUGGUUUUUUUGUGAUCAUUGUUGCAAUGUUAUUUGCCAUUAAGUUCAUUUUCCUAUUAUGUUUUCUAAUUGGUGGGGGGGUUUUUGCUUCCCCUAUUUGCUUGAUCAAAAAAUUUUCCUAUAGUAAAUUAAGCAUUCAACAUCUUCUUGCUGUGUUACUGGUGGAUAACUUUAAAGUUUUAAACAUGUUUGAAUUUCUAUUUCUCUCAAUUUCACAUAUUUAAGGCCUCUAUUCACCCUGAACAAGAAACUCAGCAGAAAGUCAGAUUUCUGCCCAUCUUCCUACCAGUGCACAUACACAUUCUCUGUCUCCUGGGUUUCGCUGGAAUCAUCUAGAAUACAGUUCAGAAUUCUAAACUUUUCACAAAUGUCUCUAUCUCAAUCUCUUAAUAGUGACACUAAAUGUCAGUCAUAUUAUUAAAAAAUAUUUUGGCCCAACUCCCUGUUUACCCAGCUUCACUGCUCACCUGUUUCUUAUAAACCUGUUUCUGAGUUCUUGAUUUUGAUUUGCUUUCUUCUGGAGUAUUUCUUUGGAUUUUUUUGUUUUCAGAACAUGUGCGAGUCCUUGCACCUCUGAAUGUUUCUGUCUUUGUCCUGACACACCAGCGAUCAGGCUGAGCAUCUCUCCUGGAGAGGAUGUCUCCUUGCCAAAAAUUCAUCCUCCUUCCACGCAGUGGGAUUGCACAUCCUAGCGCUGCUGAGCUCGGGCAUGGUCCGUGAAAGAUGGGUAGACGGGUGUGCGUCUCAAGGCGGAUGCUUCAAGAACCAGCAUAUGGCUCACGUGUCCUCUCCCUCUCGACUAGCACUGGCCACGUUCCAGGUAGAGACUCCUCCAUCCCCCUGGGUUCUGGCCCAAAGUCGACCUCAAGCAGAGCUGCAGCCAACCUGCCACGGCCAUGUGGUGUGAGAAACAGGUCUGUCACAUGUCACUGAGGUCUGGGGGUCAUGUGUUACCCGCAGGCUGUUCUAGCCUGUCCUGAUCUACGUAUUGUUAUGGGUUGCAGACCUUUCCUCUGAGAAGUUGGAGCUCUGGCCAUGGGGCUGGGGCAAAUUCCUUGCCCUCUCUGCUCCCUGAACACUGCCCACCUCCGCCACCCCCCUCCCCCGACCAUCUGUAAAGCAUGGGAGUGAAUUAGAUGAACACAGAGGUCCUUGCCAGGUUUGACAUUAAACUGAUCUUUUCUGCCAGAUAAGGGCCUUCCUGAAGAUUCCUCUUAAUCAGGCAGCUGACUUUGUAUUUUUACAAAGCAAAUUAUGUACGAGAGAUUUUGGCUAUUUGUUGCUAGAAAUAGGCCCAGCUGACGUCUGGUGGGGACAGAUAUUUGAGAAGCCCUGGAAGGCACCAGAAGGCGGACACCUACCUGGAGCUGGGAUGGAUUUCUGGUCUGUCCUCGGCCUCCCUGGCUUGGUGACAGGCAGGAGCUCUGCCUGCGCCCGCUGAUCUCUUUCUCACCAUUGAGUGCCUGCUGUGUGCCAAGCGUCCUGCCAGGGCCUGCAAGGAUGAGACACACUGACCCUCUAGGAAGCACCUCUAUUUGGGGAGGUGGGCUUGGUGAUCUUCAUGUAGAUGGGGCUUUCCUGUGGCGCUGCCUUCCUUCACUUCCUCGUGGGAUCCUGGCAGCCGCUGGUGAGAUGGGAAACGGACUGAGAAUCAGCAGAGCUGGGACCGGAACCCGGGCCUUCUGCAGCUCCAGACUCUGCUCUUCCCUGCACGCGCUGCCUCUGCUGCUCUUUAUGGUGGUGGCCAAAGGAGCCGUGCUGACGGGAAGGAUGAGUGAGGCCGAUAUUCCUGUGCUGCUGGGAGGCCUUGCAGGAGGUAGCCUCCACCACCUUGAAGGAGGAGAAGGAGGAGGAAAAGCUGGGAGAGAUAAAGAAGCUGAGGUCUGGAGAGGAGAAGGGACGAAGGUCUGGCCGCAAGUCCAGCACAAGCCAGGUUGUCAUAUUUGCAGCCACGCGAUUUAUCGCUACGGAUGGAGUACGUCAAGAAAUUUCAACUUUUCACUUAAAGGGAGCGCCUUACGGCUUCUCUUUGGCAUAUCCAAAUUGCCAGCAGCACUGCUCUUGCACUUUGGGGCCAUUAAGUGAAACAGGGGUACCUGAACACAAGCCCUGUGAUACCUCGACAGUCGAUCUGAUAACUGAGAGGGCCACUAAGUGACUACGGGCUGGGAGCACGUACAAGGGAGUUCCAGCCUAAUUUCCUGGAAAAGGGCCAGAGCAAGGGAAUCCUGGGCUCCUUUCUGACAGGAGGCGGAGAAGCGGGGGCCAGGCACAAUCAACUCUUUAUCGUCAGGAAGCUUGUGGAGCCCUCUUGCCUGGUGACAUUUCUAGGCAAGCGGAGACUUUAG